UUUACCAUGCAGUGGAGCGACGAACCGGGCUUCGGCCCGGGGCAAAGCCGCGAACGGGUGAGUAACACGUGGGUGACCUGCCCUUAGCUCUGGGAUAAGCCUGGGAAACUGGGUCUAAUACCGGAUAUGACUCCAUGACGCAUGUUGUGGGGUGGAAAGCCUUGUGCGGCUAGGGAUGGGCCCGCGGCCUAUCAGCUUGUUGGUGGGGUGAUGGCCUACCAAGGCGACGACGGGUAGCCGGCCUGAGAGGGCGACCGGCCACACUGGGACUGAGACACGGCCCAGACUCCUACGGGAGGCAGCAGUGGGGAAUCUUGCGCAAUGGGCGAAAGCCUGACGCAGCGACGCCGCGUGAGGGAUGACGGCCUUCGGGUUGUAAACCUCUUUCAGCCCUGACGAAGCGAAAGUGACGGUAGGGGCAGAAGAAGCACCGGCCAACUACGUGCCAGCAGCCGCGGUAAUACGUAGGGUGCAAGCGUUGUCCGGAAUUAUUGGGCGUAAAGAGCUCGUAGGCGGUCUGUCGCGUCGGCUGUGAAAACUCGGGGCUCAACCCCGAGCUUGCAGUCGAUACGGGCAGGCUAGAGUGCGGCAGGGGAGACUGGAAUUCCUGGUGUAGCGGUGAAAUGCGCAGAUAUCAGGAGGAACACCGGUGGCGAAGGCGGGUCUCUGGGCCGAUACUGACGCUGANGAGCGAAAGCGUGGGGAGCGAACAGGAUUAGAUACCCUGGUAGUCCACGCCGUAAACGUUGGGCGCUAGGUGUGGGAUCCCUUCCACGGGUUCCGUGCCGCAGCUAACGCAUUAAGCGCCCCGCCUGGGGAGUACGGCCGCAAGGCUAAAACUCAAGGAAUUGACGG
RNAcentral lists this ribosomal RNA (855 nucleotides) under uncultured bacterium. RNAcentral's name for it is "bacterial SSU rRNA". It matches the Rfam family "Bacterial small subunit ribosomal RNA", at positions 48 to 916 of the family's 1533-position model. The record is from RNAcentral.